This 163-nucleotide long non-coding RNA is filed under the name Amphimedon queenslandica. RNAcentral's name for it is "uncharacterized LOC109592623". Lineage: Eukaryota; Metazoa; Porifera; Demospongiae; Haplosclerida; Niphatidae. The record is from RNAcentral.
AGGUUCAGAGCCAGUUCCAUUACCUGUUAAUCAUUUAAAACGUAACGAUGCUCAGCCUAGAAAGACUCCUUGUGGUGAAAACUGCUUCAUUCACAAACUAGACCAGAAAACCUUACAGUCCCUCGUCCUCAAGAACUCUCCAUCCGGCUCCCAAAAACUCAAA